UCGCUCAUAUUCAGAGAAGCUAUAUUAUUUCUUUUACAGCUCAUUUCAAUCUUCACCACAAUAACUGAAGCCGUAACGCAAAAUUUCUUGGGUUAUAAUACAGAGAUGUGAAGUCGGAUUUUGUUGAUGGUCUUAUGGAACAUGAAGUGACAAGAAUGAUGCAUUUCCCUCCGCCUCUGUGGGCCCCAUGCUGAGUAAUGACAGCCUGGUUUCCAGUUUGUGAGGAGAUAAAUGCUGGUAAAGCCUUAGUCAUUAGACUGUCGCACACUUUCCUCUGUAACACCAUUUCUGAUUUCUUCUGCAUCCUUUGAUCUCUGGGGCUGACAAUGGCUGUGCCAUGGAAAUAAAGCUAAUGAGCGGCAACUAUGACUUUAGUUUAGGGCCGUAAAAAAGAGCCCGCUGGCCUUCCCCUGUCACAAACUGCAAUUUAGUAAACACAAAGAAACAGAUGUUGAUUUAAAGAGAGACAGGAGCACGUACACACACCCCGGCAGAACGUGACCUCAUGUUCAGAGGUCCUAAAGUCAGGCGCUGUAGAUAAAGCUGACACACUGAGUAGAAUAGAUGGUAAGAAAUAACACGACAGCCAGGAUAUUGCAUUUCUCUCUUUUUUAUAGCCAAAGUUAUAUCUACUCCUACACUUGUCUCGCAGCAUCCAUACAUUAUAAAAAAGGAUAUUGCAUUGGAGUGAAAAAUGGCAGGUCAUAAACGGUUUUACGGCCUGUCUGGUCUGUACCUGUUCUGUGGUUUAUUCUCAAUCAGACAUGUCAUGAAUACACAUGAAUACACGUGUCGCAGAGAUGAGAACACACCUCAGCUUUCCUCGAAUCCUUCAAUAUGAAGGAGCAGCAACUGUCAAUCAAACUGGCUCUAGAGAUUUCAGCUGCCUUUAUGACUCAGGUAUGGUGGCCCUGAAGGUCAACUGCAAAAACAUUACAAGGAACAAAAAACAUUUCCUCAAAAGUGAAAUAAAACACAUCAUCAAUCAUAAAAAAUCAUAUGAAAAAAUCUAAUCAUCUUUAACACUGCAAAUAUACUUCAAACAAUGCAAAAAAAAACAAAACAAAUGCUUGUAAAUAAAACCAAAAUUGUUUCACCAAACUGAAAAGUAGCCAAAACGAAAAGAAGGGGUUUUACAUAAUAAAAAAAAUGAUAUUAAAUCUUACAAAAAAUAUUUAAUCAAGUGUAAUUUCCUACACUUAGCACAAAUUUAUUCCCUCAAAAAAAAAAAAAAAAUAUUUCAUUAAAUGCAAAACCUCACACAACACAAAAAUAUGUUUGGAGCUCACAAAUUUUUUUAUAACAAAAAUACGAAAUAAAGUGCAACCAUUAAAAAAAAAUACAAAAAUACACCAGAAAAGUUUUUCCCCCCCAAAAUACUUUAUUUUUUCGCAUCACAUGUAUUUUUAUCUCGUGCAAAAAUAUAUCACAAUAUAUUAUCAUAAAGGAAUGAAAAAUAAAAAUAUUUGAUUUAGAAAAAAAAAAUGUAAUCCAAAAUUAUUCCUGAAAACUAGUUUUCUCAUCAUGAAAAAAAAAUUACUGACUAAAACAAAAGGUCAAAAAAUGGAAUGAGUAUUUUUGCAUCUUCUUUGGUUUAUUUAUUCAUGUUUUUGUGUUUUGUUGAAUGUUUUUUUUUUUUUUUUUUUGUGGUUGCUAAGUGUUUGUGCUGUUGACCUUCAGGGCCACCGUAGACACAGGACAAAGGUAAUCAUUCAGAGCAAUUAGGGACAGAACAAUGCACAAAGCACUUUACUGUUUCCUCUGAAAGGCCGUCUGCUGGUAUAUGAAUGCAGUCUGAACUAUAACAGCAUAUUUUCAACAUGAAAUCUAGGCAGUACUUCUGGGAAAUAAGAGCUGAGGUUGAAUUGAUUGUUUCAUGUUAUUAGGAUCCUAUAGCCUCCUGUUUUUACUCUGCUAAGCAAUAAAUUGCUAAUAGGAAUUGUUGAGGUCUAGAUACGCUUUCAACAGCCCAACUUCAAUAAUGAAGUAGACAGAAAAUAUAACCAGAAAGUCUCCGGAGGCUCGGGCAGGUGCUCUGAAAACGAGUUCACAUGAUAACUUCAGGCUGAUAGUAAAAGAAUAACAGACAACAAGCAGCCUCUGUUGGUUUGGACUGUCAGCCUGACAGAAAACAGACAUCAGGGAACAAGUGAAUCACUUCCUGCAAACAAGCUGCAGGGGAUCGGUCUCCGAGGCGACAGCGGUGACAACAUUGGGGUCUGUUUGUGAUGAAGUGACACACUGAUGUCAGUUUAUCCCUCCAAACAAGACGGACAGAAUCAGCCAGAGACCAUCAAAAGGUCCAAAGAGUGAUUCAGUAAGUAAGUGUGAUUUUUUUAAAGGAGUUUACACGACAUGUGAAUCCAACAUGAGCUCUGUAUGCUUUGGUGUGGACUGAAUCCAGAGCAAUCACAAGGACUGAGCCUGUAUAUCUUCACAUGAGGUGGACGUCGCUUUAAAAGAUGAAACAUGCUUGAAAAUGUUCAGACUAAAGCUUCAAACUUUGAAUUCUGAUCGGUGCAAAAGUUUCCCAUGGCUUUCUGAGGUCCUUCUUUGAUUAUUCUUAGUUGCCCUCUGUGCACCAUGUGACUGUCUGACAUCAGGCACCAUGUGGAGACACCAUGGCGUGUUUCGGUACCUGCCUCUCCUGACUCAGAGUUCACCCUGUUCCUGCACACAGCCACCACUUCAGAGCCGUGUCCUAAAGUUGCUCUCAUAAAAAAAGGCUGUUCUGCACGCAGCGGGGUUGAGCCCUGCCCACCAAAUUAAGACUGAUUAAGUCCAAACC
RNAcentral lists this long non-coding RNA (2788 nucleotides) under Xyrichtys novacula (pearly razorfish). The record is from RNAcentral. Lineage: Eukaryota; Metazoa; Chordata; Actinopteri; Labriformes; Labridae.